UACGGGAAGCAGCAGUGGGGAAUAUUGCACAAUGGGCGCAAGCCUGAUGCAGCCAUGCCGCGUGUAUGAAGAAGGCCUUCGGGUUGUAAAGUACUUUCAGUCGUGAGGAAGGUGUUAAGGUUAAUAACCUUAGCAAUUGACGUUAGCGACAGAAGAAGCACCGGCUAACUCCGUGCCAGCAGCCGCGGUAAUACGGAGGGUGCGAGCGUUAAUCGGAAUUACUGGGCGUAAAGGGCACGCAGGCGGUUAAUUAAGUUGGAUGUGAAAUCCCCGGGCUUAACCUGGGAAUGGCAUUCAAGACUGGUUAGCUAGAGUCUUGUAGAGGGGGUAGAAUUCCAUGUGUAGCGGUGAAAUGCGUAGAGAUGUGGAGGAAUACCGGUGGCGAAGGCGGCCCCUGGACAAAGACUGACGCUCAUGUGCGAAAGCGUGGGGAGCAAACAGGGAUUAGAUACC
RNAcentral lists this ribosomal RNA (453 nucleotides) under uncultured bacterium. RNAcentral's name for it is "bacterial SSU rRNA". It matches the Rfam family "Bacterial small subunit ribosomal RNA", at positions 340 to 786 of the family's 1533-position model. The record is from RNAcentral.